RNAcentral lists this ribosomal RNA (390 nucleotides) under fungal sp. RNAcentral's name for it is "SSU rRNA". It matches the Rfam family "Eukaryotic small subunit ribosomal RNA", at positions 827 to 1217 of the family's 1831-position model. Lineage: Eukaryota; Fungi. The record is from RNAcentral.
CGCGCGGUUCUAUUUUGUUGGUUUCUAGGACCGCCGUAAUGAUUAAUAGGGACAGUCGGGGGCAUCAGUAUUCAAUUGUCAGAGGUGAAAUUCUUGGAUUUAUUGAAGACUAACUACUGCGAAAGCAUUUGCCAAGGAUGUUUUCAUUAAUCAGGAACGAAAGUUAGGGGAUCGAAGACGAUCAGAUACCGUCGUAGUCUUAACCAUAAACUAUGCCGACUAGGGAUCGGGCGAUGUUAUUUUUUGACUCGCUCGGCACCUUACGAGAAAUCAAAGUGCUUGGGCUCCAGGGGGAGUAUGGUCGCAAGGCUGAAACUUAAAGAAAUUGACGGAAGGGCACCACCAGGUGUGGAGCCUGCGGCUUAAUUUGACUCAACACGGGGAAACUCA